GCAGCAGUGGGGAUAUUGCACAAUGGGGGAAACCCUGAUGCAGCCAUGCCGCGUGUGUGAAGAAGGCCUUCGGGUUGUAAAGCACUUUCAGUAGGGAGGAAAGGGUGUAGUUUAAUACGCUAUAUCUGUGACGUUACCUACAGAAGAAGGACCGGCUAACUCCGUGCCAGCAGCCGCGGUAAUACGGAGGGUCCGAGCGUUAAUCGGAAUUACUGGGCGUAAAGCGUGCGCAGGCGGUUUGUUAAGCGAGAUGUGAAAGCCCUGGGCUCAACCUAGGAAUAGCAUUUCGAACUGGCGAACUAGAGUCUUGUAGAGGGGGGUAGAAUUCCAGGUGUAGCGGUGAAAUGCGUAGAGAUCUGGAGGAAUACCGGUGGCGAAGGCGGCCCCCUGGACAAAGACUGACGCUCAUGCACGAAAGCGUGGGGAGCAAACAGGAUUAGAUACCCUGGUAGUCCACGCCGUAAACGAUGUCUACUCGGAGUUUGGUGUCUUGAACACUGGGCUCUCAAGCUAACGCAUUAAGUAGACCGCCUGGGGAGUACGGCCGCAAGGUUAAAACUCAAAUGAAUUGACGGGGCCCCC
Molecule: ribosomal RNA, 582 nt
Filed under: Shewanella sp.
Lineage: Bacteria; Pseudomonadati; Pseudomonadota; Gammaproteobacteria; Alteromonadales; Shewanellaceae
Description: bacterial SSU rRNA
Rfam family: Bacterial small subunit ribosomal RNA
Source: RNAcentral